AUUUCCCUUGGGCCUUUUGGAUAAGAUCAAGUGUAGUAUCUGUUCUUAUCAGUUUAAUAUCUGAUAUGUCCUCUAUUUGAGGACUAUAUAUUAAAUAAAUAAAUGGGAGGAAGGUGGGGGACCACAU
Molecule: small nuclear RNA, 127 nt
Organism: Podarcis muralis (Common wall lizard)
Lineage: Eukaryota; Metazoa; Chordata; Lepidosauria; Squamata; Lacertidae
Gene: U2
Rfam family: U2 spliceosomal RNA
About the family: U2 is a small nuclear RNA (snRNA) component of the spliceosome (involved in pre-mRNA splicing).
Source: Ensembl